Molecule: ribosomal RNA, 369 nt
Filed under: uncultured bacterium
Lineage: Bacteria
Description: bacterial SSU rRNA
Rfam family: Bacterial small subunit ribosomal RNA
Source: RNAcentral
GGAGGGUGCAAGCGUUAUCCGGAUUUAUUGGGUUUAAAGGGUCCGUAGGCGGAUCUGUAAGUCAGUGGUGAAAUCUCACAGCUUAACUGUGAAACUGCCAUUGAUACUGCAGGUCUUGAGUAAGGUAGAAGUAGCUGGAAUAAGUAGUGUAGCGGUGAAAUGCAUAGAUAUUACUUAGAACACCAAUUGCGAAGGCAGGUUACUAUGUCUUAACUGACGCUGAUGGACGAAAGCGUGGGGAGCGAACAGGAUUAGAUACCCUGGUAGUCCACGCCGUAAACGAUGCUAACUCGUUUUUGGGUUUUCGGAUUCAGAGACUAAGCGAAAGUGAUAAGUUAGCCACCUGGGGAGUACGUUCGCAAGAAUGAA